Molecule: ribosomal RNA, 391 nt
Filed under: Cryptomonadales sp.
Lineage: Eukaryota; Cryptophyceae; Cryptomonadales
Description: partial small subunit ribosomal RNA
Rfam family: Eukaryotic small subunit ribosomal RNA
Source: RNAcentral
AUUCCAGCUCCAAUAGCGUAUAUUAAAUUUGUUGCGGUUAAAAAGCUCGUAGUUGGAUUUCUGCUGAGGACGACCGGUCCGCCCUCUGGGUGAGUGUCUGGCUCGGCCUUGGCAUCUUCUUGGGGAACGUAACUGCACUUGACUGUGUGGGGCGUGGGGACGCAGGCCGUUUACUUUGAAAAAAUUAGAGUGUUCAAAGCAGGCCUACGCUUGAAUACAUUAGCAUGGAAUAAUGGAAUAGGACUUUGGUGCUAUUUUGUUGGUUUAUGGGACCGAAGUAAUGAUUAACAGGGACAGUUGGGGCCGUUUAUAUUUCGUUGUCAGAGGUGAAAUUCUUGGAUUUACGAAAGAUAAACUUCUGCGAAAGCAUUCGGCAAGGAUGUUUUCAUCA